CCUACGGGAGGCAGCAGUGGGGAAUAUUGCACAAUGGGGGAAACCCUGAUGCAGCGAUGCCGCGUGGAGGAAGAAGGUUUUCGGAUUGUAAACUCCUGUCUUAAAGGACGAUAAUGACGGUACUUUAGGAGGAAGCUCCGGCUAACUACGUGCCAGCAGCCGCGGUAAUACGUAGGGAGCGAGCGUUGUCCGGAAUUACUGGGUGUAAAGGGAGCGUAGGCGGGAGUGCAAGUCAGGUGUGAAAACUAUGGGCUCAACCCGAUAGACUGCACUUGAAACUGCAUUUCUUGAGUGAAGUAGAGGUGAGCGGAAUUCCUGGUGUAGCGGUGAAAUGCGUAGAUAUCAGGAGGAACACCGGUGGCGAAGGCGGCUUACUGGGCUUUUACUGACGCUGAGGCUCGAAAGCGUGGGGAGGCAAACAGGAUUAGAUACCCUGGUAGUCCACGCUGUAAACGAUGAUUACUAGGUGUGGGGGGACUGACCCCUUCCGUGCCGCAGUUAACACAAUAAGUAAUCCACCUGGGGAGUACGGCCGCAAGGUUGAAACUCAAAUGAAUUGACGG
Molecule: ribosomal RNA, 563 nt
Filed under: uncultured bacterium
Lineage: Bacteria
Description: bacterial SSU rRNA
Rfam family: Bacterial small subunit ribosomal RNA
Source: RNAcentral